GAUGAACGCUGGCGGCGUGCUUAACACAUGCAAGUCGAACGGAAAGGCCCAAGCUUGCUUGGGUACUCGAGUGGCGAACGGGUGAGUAACACGUGGGUGAUCUGCCCUGCACUUCGGGAUAAGCCUGGGAAACUGGGUCUAAUACCGGAUAGGACGAUGGUUUGGAUGCCAUUGUGGAAAGUUUUUUCGGUGUGGGAUGAGCUCGCGGCCUAUCAGCUUGUUGGUGGGGUAAUGGCCUACCAAGGCGUCGACGGGUAGCCGGCCUGAGAGGGUGUACGGCCACAUUGGGACUGAGAUACGGCCCAGACUCCUACGGGAGGCAGCAGUGGGGAAUAUUGCACAAUGGGCGCAAGCCUGAUGCAGCGACGCCGCGUGGGGGAUGACGGCCUUCGGGUUGUAAACUCCUUUCGCUAGGGACGAAGCGUUUUUGUGAUGGUACCUGGAGAAGAAGCACCGGCUAACUACGUG
Molecule: ribosomal RNA, 468 nt
Filed under: uncultured bacterium
Lineage: Bacteria
Description: partial 16S ribosomal RNA
Rfam family: Bacterial small subunit ribosomal RNA
Source: RNAcentral